UACGUAGGGGGCUAGCGUUGUCCGGAAUCAUUGGGCGUAAAGCGCGCGUAGGCGGCCCGGUAAGUCCGUUGUGAAAGUCAAAGGCUCAACCUUUGAAAGCCGAUGGAUACUGCCGGGCUAGAGUCCGGAAGAGGCGAGUGGAAUUCCUGGUGUAGCGGUGGAAUGCGCAGAUAUUCGCAAGAACACCAGUGGUGAAGGCGGCUCACUGGCCCGUAACUGACGCUGAGGCACGAAAGCGUGGGGAGCAAACAGG
RNAcentral lists this ribosomal RNA (253 nucleotides) under uncultured bacterium. Its description in RNAcentral is "partial 16S ribosomal RNA". It matches the Rfam family "Bacterial small subunit ribosomal RNA", at positions 524 to 776 of the family's 1533-position model. The record is from RNAcentral.